RNAcentral lists this ribosomal RNA (610 nucleotides) under Piloderma sp. VP-1. RNAcentral describes it as "eukaryotic LSU rRNA". The stretch from base 211 to 365 matches the Rfam family "5.8S ribosomal RNA". Lineage: Eukaryota; Fungi; Basidiomycota; Agaricomycetes; Atheliales; Atheliaceae. The record is from RNAcentral.
GUGACCUGCGGAAGGAUCAUUAUUGAAAUUACCGGCGAGGGUUGUAGCUGGCCUUUCGGGGCAUGUGCACGCCCGAGCCUUUAAUCCAACAUACACCUGUGAACCCAAUGUAAGGGCCCGUAAAAAGGCCCCUACGUCUUUAUCACCAACUCUGUAUUCAUAGAAUGUAAUCCAUAUCUUCGCCUUAACAAGCGUUGGUAAAACUUAUACAACUUUCAACAACGGAUCUCUUGGCUCUCGCAUCGAUGAAGAACGCAGCGAAAUGCGAUAAGUAAUGUGAAUUGCAGAUUUUCAGUGAAUCAUCGAAUCUUUGAACGCACCUUGCGCCCCUUGGUAUUCCGAGGGGCAUGCCUGUUUGAGUGUCAUUAAAUUCUCAACUCCGAUUUGAUUUGUUUCUUAUCGGAGCUUGGACUUUGGAGCGUGCUGGCGUAAGGUCGGCUCCUCUUAAAUGUAUCAGCGGAAUCUAACCUUUGGAUUCUGGACAUCGGUGUGAUAAUAAAAGUUGCGCCGUCGUUCUACUUCAAAGUCCGCUUACAAUGGUCUUUUGACAAACUCUUAUCAAAUUUGACCUCAAAUCAGGUAGGACUACCCGCUGAACUUAAGCAUAUCA